AAAACUUUCAACAACGGAUCUCUUGGUUCCAGCAUCGAUGAAGAACGCAGCGAAAUGCGAAAAGUAAUGUGAAUUGCAGAAUUCCGUGAAUCAUCGAAUCUUUGAACGCACAUUGCGCCCCUUGGUAUUCCGGGGGGCAUGCCUGUUCGAGCGUCAUUG
RNAcentral lists this ribosomal RNA (159 nucleotides) under Rinodina oxydata. RNAcentral describes it as "5.8S ribosomal RNA". It matches the Rfam family "5.8S ribosomal RNA". From Rfam's summary of the family: 5.8S ribosomal RNA (5.8S rRNA) is a component of the large subunit of the eukaryotic ribosome. Lineage: Eukaryota; Fungi; Ascomycota; Lecanoromycetes; Caliciales; Physciaceae. The record is from RNAcentral.